Molecule: ribosomal RNA, 981 nt
Filed under: uncultured bacterium
Lineage: Bacteria
Description: bacterial SSU rRNA
Rfam family: Bacterial small subunit ribosomal RNA
Source: RNAcentral
AGCAGCCGCGGUAAUACGAAGGGACCUAGCGUAGUUCGGAAUUACUGGGCUUAAAGAGUUCGUAGGUGGUUGAAAAAGUUGGUGGUGAAAUCCCAGAGCUUAACUCUGGAACUGCCAUCAAAACUUUUCAGCUAGAGUAUGAUAGAGGAAAGCAGAAUUUCUAGUGUAGAGGUGAAAUUCGUAGAUAUUAGAAAGAAUACCAAUUGCGAAGGCAGCUUUCUGGAUCAUUACUGACACUGAGGAACGAAAGCAUGGGUAGCGAAGAGGAUUAGAUACCCUCGUAGUCCAUGCCGUAAACGAUGUGUGUUAGACGUUGGAAAUUUAUUUUCAGUGUCGCAGCGAAAGCGAUAAACACACCGCCUGGGGAGUACGACCGCAAGGUUAAAACUCAAAUGAAUUGACGGGGACCCGCACAAGUAGUGGAGCAUGUGGUUUAAUUCGAAGAUACGCGCAGAACCUUACCAACACUUGACAUGUUCGUCGCGACUUUAAGAGAUUAAAGUUUUCGGUUCGGCCGGACGAAACACAGGUGCUGCAUGGCUGUCGUCAGCUCGUGUCGUGAGAUGUUGGGUUAAGUCCCGCAACGAGCGCAACCCUCACUUUUAGUUGCCAUCAUUAAGUUGGGCACUCUGAAAGAACUGCCAGUGAUAAGCUGGAGGAAGGUGGGGAUGACGUCAAGUCCUCAUGGCCCUUACGUGUUGGGCUACACACGUGCUACAAUGGUAUCUACAACAGGAAGCAAAACUGCGAAGUUAAGCAAAUCCUUAAAAGAUACCUCAGUUCGGAUUGCACUCUGCAACUCGAGUGCAUGAAGCUGGAAUUACUAGUAAUCGUGGAUCAGCGUGCCACGGUGAAUGCGUUCCCGGGUCUUGUACACACCGCCCGUCACACCAUGGGAGUUGGUUCUACCUUAAGGCAAGGUUUCAAACCCUUGACCACGGUAUAGUCAGCGACUGGGGUGAAGUCGUAACAAGGUAGCCG